UCAAAAACAUGUCCUUCUGUAAAAGUCUGUAUAUAAGGUCUGGCCUGCCCACUGAAGUUUGAAGGGCCGCGGUAUAUUAACCGUGCGAAGGUAGCAUAGUCAAUAGUCUUUUAAUUGAGGGCUAGAAUGAACGGUCGGACAUGGGAGAAUCUGUCUUUAGCGGUGUUAACGAAUUUAACGGUUGUGUGAAAAGGCAUGAGUGUGCUAGGGGGACGAUAAGACCCUAUAAAACUUGACAUCUAGGGCUGAGCUUCCGCUGUAUGUAAUUCGGGGGCCGGGGAUGAGUAGGUUGUGCUGGGGCGGCGAGGAUAUAAUAACUUAACUGUUCUUGGUGGGAGAAUAAUUGUAAUUAGGUUUGGACCCCGAAGUUCGGGUUAUAAGUUGAAGUUACUUUAGGGAUAACAGCGUUAUUUCUUUUGAGAGUUCGUAUCGACAGAGAGAUUUGCGACCUCGAUGUUGAAUUAAAGCUUCCGCCGGGGGCAGAGGUUCGGGGGGCAGGUCUGUUCGACCUUUAAUAGCUUUACAUGAUUUGAGUUCAANCCGGUGUGAGCCANGUUG
This 558-nucleotide ribosomal RNA is filed under the name Metalpheus paragracilis. RNAcentral's name for it is "partial 16S ribosomal RNA". It matches the Rfam family "Bacterial large subunit ribosomal RNA", at positions 1807 to 2633 of the family's 2925-position model. Lineage: Eukaryota; Metazoa; Arthropoda; Malacostraca; Decapoda; Alpheidae. The record is from RNAcentral.